UGAAGGGAGGCAGAUCAGGAGCAGGAAAGAACCCAGGAACACAGACGCCCAUCUAUACACUGCUGCUCCAGGCCAGGAAGCAGCAGGAGAAGGUUUUCUUACAUGAAGGGAGGCAGAUCAGGAGCAGGAAAGAACCCAGGAACACAGACGCCCAUCUAUACACUGCUGCUCCAGGCCAGGAAGCAGCAGGAGAAGGUUUUCUUACAUGAAGGGAGGCAGAUCAGGAGCAGGAAAGAACCCAGGAACACAGACACCCAUCUAUACACUGCUGCUCCAGGCCAGGAAGCAGCAGGAGAAGGUUUUCUUACAUGAAGGGAGGCAGAUCAGGAGCAGGAAAGAACCCAGGAACACAGACGCCCAUCUAUACACUGCUGCUCCAGGCCAGGAAGCAGAAAAAGUAGGUUUUCUUACAUGAAGGGAGGCAGAUCAGGAGCAGGAAAGAACCCAGGAACACAGACGCCCAUCUAUACACUGCUGCUCCAGGCCAGGAAGCAGAAAAAGAAGGUUUUCUUACAUGAAGGGAAGCAGAUCAGGAGCAGGAAAGAACCCAGGAACACAGACGCCCAUCUAUACACUGCUGCUCCAGGCCAGGAAGCAGAAAAAGAAGGUUUUCUUACAUGAAGGGAAGCAGAUCAGGAGCAGGAAAGAACCCAGGAACACAGACGCCCAUCUAUACACUGCUGCUCCAGGCCAGGAAGCAGAAAAAGAAGGUUUUCUUACAUGAAGGGAAGCAGAUCAGGAG
Molecule: long non-coding RNA, 742 nt
Organism: Eriocheir sinensis (Chinese mitten crab)
Lineage: Eukaryota; Metazoa; Arthropoda; Malacostraca; Decapoda; Varunidae
Exons: 3
Source: RefSeq, a predicted model, not a curated record